Molecule: long non-coding RNA, 2200 nt
Filed under: Triticum aestivum (bread wheat)
Lineage: Eukaryota; Viridiplantae; Streptophyta; Magnoliopsida; Poales; Poaceae
Description: long non-coding RNA (TAES_LNC019912)
Source: RNAcentral
AACAUUAUUUCAUAUUCAAAUCAAGAAAACUCCAUAUCAAAUUCAAAUCAUCCAUCGCAUCACAUCAGGUUUACAUAACAAAUCAUCUCAGGAAUACAUUUCCUUACACAGGAAUAUAGAAGGAACAGAGGGAAUAUGCAAUAAGACAAUUAUGGCACAUCCUACAACUUGCCAUCCUACAACAAGAAUUAUAUAACAGGAAGAACUUGCUCUCUCUCGUGAGACUUGCUCCAGCUGCGACAACUUGCCAUCCUACAACAAGAAGUAUAUAACAAUGAACUUCAAGAACAUUACAGGAGCUAAACGCCCAAUCAACGUGAAGUGCUAAAAAAUGCCUUAGCUAGCAUGCAUUCAAAAUUUAGACACUUGACAUAGCCUCAUCAAGCAUGCAAUAAAUUAUAGAAAGUAAACGAGGACCAGACUUUACAAUUACAGACACAUCCAUCAAUCCAUGAGGCAAAAUCAUGUGAAUCCAAAAGGAGAGGCAGGAAGGGAUACCAAUUUUGAUCCAGAGGGUACAUGAGUGUGGCCUUCUUCCGGAAGAGGUUGGCCCUAACGCACCUUGUAUGAGGCGCUGGGAGCUCAUAGAUUGUCCUGGUCAAUGAGCAGGUCCUUGCAUCCGGUCAUACUGCUAGCCUGGGGAACAGGAAAAAUGAAAGGAACAAUUUAGACUUGGUAUUAACGAACAAAGACUGUAAUCAAUAGCAGAUUAAGCACCAAUUUUCUUGGAUGCAAGGAGAAGAACGAGCAAAACAACACAGAGAUGUGGGACAAUGUUGUACCUGUAGAUGAUGUUCGCAGCCAAGGAAGACAUGGGGCCAGCCUUAAAUGUGCGCGUGCUUCACCGGUGCAUGCAUCACCAUAGCAGCCAAGCAAGUAGACAUCAUCGACAUCUACUCACCGCUUUCCUGGCAAUGGAGAAAGAGUCAAACAAAAAAGUAUUAGACCAUGAUAUGACACCAGACCAUAGAUUAGUAGCUUUAAAUCACAAAGUAUAUCCACAACACCAUAAAAUAGUCCCAAACCCGUGUUAUUUGAGUAUAUCACAUGUAGUUUAUUUUCAUGAGUCCAGAAACAUGGAAGGGUUCAAUACAGUCCUAAUAUACAUUCAUAUUACAGUAGCUCGAUAAGUCCAGAAAUAUGUUGUAUAUGCAUGAUAAGUCCAGAAACCCCAGUGCUAUUUAUUUACUGGUUUUAUUGAAUCACACACAUUACUGCCCUUAUUUGAAAUCUCUCGCAUGAAUCUAGGUGCAGGGUAGAUGCCUUUUUUAUAUGUUCUACAUUACUACCCCAAGAAACAUUGGCUUUGAACGCUUGUGCCAACUCGUUUAUCAACAGACAUAUUCUAGCAGAGAGGCACUCUGAUUUGCCUAUGUGGAUCUAAACAAUUCCCCUCGCUCUACGAGAAGCUACCGAAUAAACAAUUUCACACAUCUGUUGAUUGGUUUUGAUACUCAUAACAAAAGGAUGCAACAUAUAAACAAUAGCCACAACACAACUACAACGCGGCUCAAAUUUCAAAGUUGUUGUGAUGUGCCUGUAGCAUGCUGCCUAAGCAACGACAAUGCAUAGUGGUACAGCCGAGAGAUCAGUAGCAUCAACACGUUUAGCCCUACUUGGAUCACACGCCCACGUACAGGCCCCAGAGACAAUUCAACUAAAUUGGCCAGGUUCGAGCAGAGCACAAAGUCAAAGACAAAGUAUAUAUCAGUGCCUACAAUCUUCAGUUCAGUACACAUCUCUUUAGAACAGAGUAAUAUUCAAAAUUCAUAUAUCAGUAUGUAUUCAGAAUUGAACCACCAACGACAGCUUUACUAAAUCUCUUUAGUAGAGAGUAAACGCCAGCAAACUAAUUUCAUCUCGAAGGUUAGUUUUGCAACAGCAACAAGCAUUAAACACGCUACUCUUGUUACUAUAGUGCAGUUCAGUACUAUAGUUCAGUACCAUAUGCCUACAAUCAGACACAAGCUUCAGUACAGUCAAAGUAUAAUUACAAAUAGGAUUAAGAAUCAAAGUUGUUACUCAUGGGAUCGUGGCACAGAGCGUUCAGUAAAGAGUAUAACACAAGCUACACUUAUAAACACAAGCUUCAGUUCAGUGCAGAAAUAAACAAGCCUCAGAUUGUGAGCAGCAGUGUUAGAUUGUUUACCUUCAGAGUUCUUCUUCUCCCACCUCCACAUCCUUCACAAAGCCACCCUCC